GUAGUAAUGUAUAAAUAAAUAAAUAAGCAAAUUAUUAAAUAAAGAAAUAAUUUAAUAAAUAAAUAAAUUGAGGUAGGAACCGUAAUAAGAGUUAAAAAAGAUCUAGCGCAACAACAUGUCACAGGAAUAGACUCCAAUUGUAUUCUGCAAGAAGAAAAUAGAAAAGAAAAGUUGAUGAGGCUUCCUUCUUUACAAAAACAACAGAAAAAACCUGAUCGAGCGUUCAUCGCAAAACGGGAAUCCUAUGAAGCCAAAACACAAACACCUAGUGGGCAUAUCAUUCACCGCAAAGGAAUCAGAUGCGCUCUUCAAGAAAUCAAAACCGAGGGGACCCAAGAUGCCCAGAGAGCACACAUGAAGAUACAAACUUGGAAAAACUAAAUUAGAAGAAACCCCUAAUUGAAAUCGAAAAGAAACCAAUUUUAUAUUUAAAGUUGGCAAAUCAAGAUGCAUAUACAGAGAUCAAAUAAUCCUUCUCCUCCAAAAACAACAAUAAACACCCCGUGAAGCAAAAACACAAACACCUGAUGGGCAUCACAUCCACCGAAAAAGAAUCAGACACUUUGCUCAAGAAAACCAAUACCAUAAAGAGGACAUAGAGAUCAAAGGUUCCGUAAAAGAAUCAGAAGAUACCCAAUUGAAAAAAGAAAAAACGCGAAUUGGGAUCGGAGGGAUGAUAACUCACGUCCUCAUAGGAAGAUCGGGCGGUUCCUUGAGGGCGACGAGAUGCGAUUUCGCUCUCCUCCGACGAAGUAGAAGAAGCCGCAGUCCGUCAGCAACAAUAUAAAACCCAGAAAAGAACCUGCACUUGAAAAAGAUAGCAAAGAUAAGCAAAUCAAAUGCGACAAAGCUAUACAGAGAACCCAAAAAAAAGAAAAAAAGAAAGAGGAAGAGCGAUUCUGAGGGGAGGAGCUCGUCGUUGAGAUCGCGAUGGGACGAUGCGGCGGAGAAGAAAACAGGAGCCCCGUUCUCGAUCUCAACCGUCGCCUUCUUUAAUUUCUUUGCGAGGAGAGAGAGAGAGAGAGAGAGAGAGAGAGAGAGAGGAGGGUCACUGGG
RNAcentral lists this long non-coding RNA (1056 nucleotides) under Ananas comosus (pineapple). RNAcentral describes it as "long non-coding RNA (ACOM_LNC033402)". The record is from RNAcentral. Lineage: Eukaryota; Viridiplantae; Streptophyta; Magnoliopsida; Poales; Bromeliaceae.